This 382-nucleotide unclassified non-coding RNA is filed under the name Hevea brasiliensis (rubber tree). The record is from RNAcentral. Lineage: Eukaryota; Viridiplantae; Streptophyta; Magnoliopsida; Malpighiales; Euphorbiaceae.
GGGCUUGUAAGAUGCUUGCUGAUCAAUUUCUUGGAGGUACAAUUAUUGACAUGGACAGGCAGAAGGGUUCAGGGAAUAUGACACCAAGAAUUACCUCCCUUGAUCCACUUGGCUUUUACUCUUUGCAAAGUGAAGCAGCAGCUGAAGUGCAUGGCCCAGAAGAAGUAACAACUCGUUUGCAUCACCAGGGGGCUGAUUGUUCCACUGAGAGCUGCCUAACUUCAAAUGAGAGUCCUCGAGGACUUGCUCUGGAAGGAUAUACAGUUGGAAGUNNNNAUUCUGAGUUUGGAUUCAACAACAGCAUCUCUGAUUUGGAAUGAAGCGAAGAUAAGAACCUCGGAGGUUAACAUGAGCACAGUUAUUCCGCUUGGACUUGCUGGGC